This is a long non-coding RNA of Papaver somniferum (opium poppy), 790 nucleotides long. RefSeq lists it as uncharacterized. NCBI's taxonomy places the organism in Eukaryota, Viridiplantae, Streptophyta, Magnoliopsida, Ranunculales, Papaveraceae. The record is from RefSeq and is a predicted model, not a curated record. The transcript is spliced from 3 exons.
GUUGGCUCCGAGAUACCAUAAACCCAACCGUAACUGUUAGGAGUUCAUCACCAUCUAACCGUAAAUUGGUUUUACAAGUUUACAAUGCUUUGAAAAAAAAUCAAUCUUUGGUUGGGUAGAUCAUGAUCUCCAUCAUGAGGUGGCGCCCAUCUAUUGGAAUGUGACGUCCCAAUAAUAGCCUUCUUAUUUAAGGGCGCUUGUCAGUGAAGUCCUUUAUUUGCAUACCUAAUACGAAGUUGGGCCGUUUCUUGUAUGCUGGUGGGCGCAAUACAUGACAUCUACUAGUUCUCCGGGGACUAUACCGGAGUGGUGAUGGGCAAGCAGUCUUAUCAAUGGAAACGGUGAGCAAGUUAAAAAAUUACAAAGGUGCGGUAAACUGGUUAUUGCACUUUCAAAAUGGUAAAUUUAUAAACUCUUCUCCUUGUCAAUGGUUCAAGCAAGACACCAACAAAAACCUACACCCUAAAUGUUCAACUGCUCAAGCUAAACAGAGCCAGGCUUUACAAGUCAGUCAGCCGAGGACAUUACUUAUAUGUACAAGGUACAUAUCAAAACUUCCCUAAUGGAAGAAAAAAACAUAGCUGGCCGGCCGGAUCCAGUUUUUUCAAAAUGGACAUCAGAUGCGUAGAGAGAGAAUAAAUAUGUACAGUUGUUGGGUGUGUCAGCCUUGGGUGUACCAACGUCCGUUCGAUUUCUAUUAGCUCCUCCAUCUCGAGGUUGAGGUUUUUUGAAAUACUUCUCAUUGAAAGACUCGGCUACUGCAGCAUGCUUUUCCUUAACAAAAUUCUCC